RNAcentral lists this ribosomal RNA (1178 nucleotides) under Salmonella enterica subsp. enterica serovar Enteritidis. Its description in RNAcentral is "partial 23S ribosomal RNA". It matches the Rfam family "Bacterial large subunit ribosomal RNA", at positions 1 to 1209 of the family's 2925-position model. The record is from RNAcentral. Lineage: Bacteria; Pseudomonadati; Pseudomonadota; Gammaproteobacteria; Enterobacterales; Enterobacteriaceae.
GGGUUGUGAGGUUAAGCGACUAAGCGUACACGGUGGAUGCCCUGGCAGUCAGAGGCGAUGAAGGGCGUACUAAUCUGCGAUAAGCGCCGGUAAGGUGAUAUGAACCGUUAUAACCGGCGAUACCCGAAUGGGGAAACCCAGUGUGAUUCGUCACACUAUCAUUAACUGAAUCCAUAGGUUAAUGAGGCGAACCGGGGGAACUGAAACAUCUAAGUACCCCGAGGAAAAGAAAUCAACCGAGAUUCCCCCAGUAGCGGCGAGCGAACGGGGAGGAGCCCAGAGCCUGAAUCAGCAUGUGUGUUAGUGGAAGCGUCUGGAAAGGCGCGCGAUACAGGGUGACAGCCCCGUACACAAAAGCGCAUGUGCUGUGAGCUCGAUGAGUAGGGCGGGACACGUGGUAUCCUGUCUGAAUAUGGGGGGACCAUCCUCCAAGGCUAAAUACUCCUGACUGACCGAUAGUGAACCAGUACCGUGAGGGAAAGGCGAAAAGAACCCCGGCGAGGGGAGUGAAAAAGAACCUGAAACCGUGUACGUACAAGCAGUGGGAGCACAGGUUUACCUGUGUGACUGCGUACCUUUUGUAUAAUGGGUCAGCGACUUAUAUUCUGUAGCAAGGUUAACCGAAUAGGGGAGCCGGAGGGAAACCGAGUCUUAAUUGGGCGUUAAGUUGCAGGGUAUAGACCCGAAACCCGGUGAUCUAGCCAUGGGCAGGUUGAAGGUUGGGUAACACUAACUGGAGGACCGAACCGACUAAUGUUGAAAAAUUAGCGGAUGACCUGUGGCUGGGGGUGAAAGGCCAAUCAAACCGGGAGAUAGCUGGUUCUCCCCGAAAGCUAUUUAGGUAGCGCCUCGUGAAUUCAUCUCCGGGGGUAGAGCACUGUUUCGGCUAGGGGGCCAUCCCGGCUUACCAACCCGAUGCAAACUGCGAAUACCGGAGAAUGUUAUCACGGGAGACACACGGCGGGUGCUAACGUCCGUCGUGAAGAGGGAAACAACCCAGACCGCCAGCUAAGGUCCCAAAGUCAUGGUUAAGUGGGAAACGAUGUGGGAAGGCCCAGACAGCCAGGAUGUUGGCUUAGAAGCAGCCAUCAUUUAAAGAAAGCGUAAUAGCUCACUGGUCGAGUCGGCCUGCGCGGAAGAUGUAACGGGGCUAAACCAUGCACCGAAGCUGCGGCAGC